GCCCUCGUGAUGGAAUUGGCAUACAUGUACGCUUGAGGUGCGUAUGCCGCAAGGCUUGUGGGUUCGAAUCCCACCGAGGGCA
Molecule: non-coding RNA, 82 nt
Organism: Candidatus Staskawiczbacteria bacterium
Lineage: Bacteria; Candidatus Staskawicziibacteriota
Source: Rfam